RNAcentral lists this ribosomal RNA (465 nucleotides) under uncultured bacterium. RNAcentral's name for it is "bacterial SSU rRNA". It matches the Rfam family "Bacterial small subunit ribosomal RNA", at positions 198 to 644 of the family's 1533-position model. The record is from RNAcentral.
GGAGGAAAGUAGGGGAUCGCAAGACCUUGCGCUUUUUGAGCGGCCGAUGCCUGAUUAGCUAGUUGGUAAGGUAAUGGCUUACCAAGGCAACGAUCAGUAGCUGGUCUGAGAGGACGACCAGCCACACUGGGACUGAGACACGGCCCAGACUCCUACGGGAGGCAGCAGUGGGGAAUUUUGGACAAUGGGCGAAAGCCUGAUCCAGCCAUGCCGCGUGAGUGAAGAAGGCCUUCGGGUUGUAAAGCUCUUUCGGUCGGGAAGAAAUAGUUGUGGCUAAUAUCCACAAUGAAUGACGGUACCGACAUAAGAAGCACCGGCUAACUACGUGCCAGCAGCCGCGGUAAUACGUAGGGUGCAAGCGUUAAUCGGAAUUAUUGGGCGUAAAGGGUGCGCAGGCGGUUGUAUAAGUCAGAUGUGAAACCCCUGGGCUUAACCUAGGAAUUGCGUUUGAAACUACAAAGCUAG